RNAcentral lists this long non-coding RNA (925 nucleotides) under Setaria viridis. RNAcentral's name for it is "long non-coding RNA (SVIR_LNC009672)". The record is from RNAcentral. Lineage: Eukaryota; Viridiplantae; Streptophyta; Magnoliopsida; Poales; Poaceae.
UUUAAGUUAUUUUUAAGUAUUAGUAGUGGGCAAUUUAGUUGUAAAUUUAGGGGGUUAUUUUAAGUAUCGUUUAUAAUGGCAUAAAUGUAUAAUUUUGAUGAAUAAUAGGGGUUACUUUAAUUUAUUUUAUAUAAUAGCAUAGGUGGGGAAUUUAGAUAUAGAUUUAGAGGGUUACUUUAUGCUAUUUUCAUAAUGGUAUAGGUGGGUAAUUUUUUAGAUUACAUAAUAGAUACAAUGGCUAGGAUUAUUUGAGUCUACCAAUUGAUGGGUAGAUAUUUUGUUUUUUAAAAAUUUGUAGGAUUUCUCUAUUUUUAUAGAGUGUCCAUCUAAGAUCCUAUGUGGCUUCACAUGAAGUAUUCAAAAGGAGACUCCAAUUAGUAAUAAUAAGUAAGAUUACCAACAACAAUUAGGUCUAAGCAUCAUGAUUUAUAAAUAUAUUUUUGGUGCUAGAAAACUAUUUCCACCAGGAGCCGCGAGUGCCUUAUUUAUUGAUCUAAUAAAUACAAUAGUAUCUUCCCACAUCUAACUUAUUUCUUUCGCAUCCCUCUUGUAUAUGAAAAGUUUUGACACCUCCAGACCUGGAUUCCAUAUCUCAUAUUUGAUAAAAAAAUACUCUAAAAAUAAAUAUGUGAAUGUCCAAUGUUAGCCCAAGCUGUAUUUAUAGACUGAAAUAAAUAUUUGCGUAUCCUCAUCUGGCUACUUCGCAUGGUGCAGGCGUCCGAAUGAACCAUUUAUCUCCGAGACAGAAAUCCAACCACCCAAAUUCUCUCUCUGUAUAUGUACCUUCUCCGAUCCAACCGUGUCCACUUGCCACUGACGUUUCGACAUCACCGUCGCCAUGGAAAUGAAGCUCACAACCGGUCUUGCCAUCAUCACUGCACUACUCAUGCACCACCUCUCGAUCUCGCCCGCCACCGCCGACCAC